RNAcentral lists this ribosomal RNA (1305 nucleotides) under Alpheus japonicus. Its description in RNAcentral is "16S ribosomal RNA". The stretch from base 868 to 1224 matches the Rfam family "Bacterial large subunit ribosomal RNA", at positions 2079 to 2642 of the family's 2925-position model. The record is from RNAcentral. Lineage: Eukaryota; Metazoa; Arthropoda; Malacostraca; Decapoda; Alpheidae.
UUAGAAUUCUAUUUUAGAUUUAAAAAAUUUAGUGGAGUGUAAAAAAGUAUUGAGUUGAUAUAGUUCUGUGGAGUAAAUGUCGUUAAGGGAUAGAGUUAAUAGUACUGUGAGGGAAUGGUUGUAGAAUUAAGGAUAGAAAAAAUUAAAUUUUGUACCUUUUGUAUCAGGGUUUAUUAAAUUGUGGGAGUGUUUAUUGUUUUCCCGAAACAUUAAGAUUUAUUUUUUUGAAUUAGGCACAGUUAGAAAACUGUGGCGUAACAGUAAGAUAGAAGUGAGAUGUUAGUCGAUUAGUGUUUAUCUGGUUCUUUAAGAAAAAAGUUUAAUUUUCUCUUAAAUUAUUAUUGUUUUUAAGGGAUAAGUUAAGGGGCAUGAGCUUUUUAAUUUCAUUGGGUAAUAUUAAGCUUAUUAGUUUGAUUAUUGGGACUAGGCUUGAGAUUGGCCAUGAUAGGAGUGUGUUAUAAUUUACGUUGGUAAAAAUGUAUUUUUAUUAGCUUGUUGUGUGUAUUAGGGAAACUUUUUUAAUUUAAUAUAGAGUAUUAUAAUGAUAUAAUAAGUAGUUUAUUGUUGUUGAUGAGUUUAUUUAAUUAAGAAUUGAGGUUUUAAUUAAAAAUUGUAUUAAUUAAGGAAUUCGGCAAAUUUUCUUCUUUUGCCUGUUUAUCAAAAACAUGUCCUCAUGUUAAGUGUUUGAGGUCUGGCCUGCCCACUGAAGGAGUUUUAAAUGGCCGCGGUAUAUUAACCGUGCGAAGGUAGCAUAGUCAAUAGUCUUUUAAUUGAAGGCUUGAAUGAAAGGUUGGACAUAAGGAAGGCUGUCUUUAUUGAUCCGAGUGAAUUUGACUUUUGUGUGAAAAGUCAUAAAUGAUUUAAGGGGACGAUAAGACCCUAUAAAACUUGAUAGUUAGUUUGGGCUUUACGAUUUUAGAGUUAAUGUAAGGUUAAGGUUAUAUACUAUUGUGCUGGGGCGGCAUGAAUAAAAUCUGUAACUGUUCUUAAAUAUAUAAUGGUUAUUUCUAGAGUUUGAGCCUGAAUUUUAGGUUAAAAGAUUAAGUUACUUUAGGGAUAACAGCGUUAUUUCUUUUGAGAGUUCAAAUCGACAAAGAUAUUUGCGACCUCGAUGUUGAAUUAAAGCUUUCUCCGGGAGUAGAAGUUCGGAAGGUAGGUCUGUUCGACCUUUAAAGUUUUACAUGAUUUGAGUUCAAACCGGUGUGAGCCAGGUUGGUUUCUAUCUUUUGAUUUUUAAAAAAUUACUUUAGUACGAAAGGAUUUGGUAGUUGUAAAAUUUAUGCUAAUAAAGGGUAAGGUUAAUUU